This 50-nucleotide ribosomal RNA is filed under the name Cladosporium sphaerospermum. Its description in RNAcentral is "partial 28S ribosomal RNA". The record is from RNAcentral. Lineage: Eukaryota; Fungi; Ascomycota; Dothideomycetes; Cladosporiales; Cladosporiaceae.
AUCAGGUAGGGAUACCCGCUGAACUUAAGCAUAUCAAUAAGGCGGAGGAA